Non-coding RNA from Xyrichtys novacula (pearly razorfish), 12640 nucleotides. NCBI's taxonomy places the organism in Eukaryota, Metazoa, Chordata, Actinopteri, Labriformes, Labridae. The record is from the annotation of a GenBank genome assembly.
GCUAUUUCGCAUUUUUUGCCGAUUCGCACACAUUGGAAUGUGGCUAACUCCUCCUAAGGUUUUCGUCCCACUGACACCAAAUUUGCUCAGGCCAAUCUACACCCCAUGGCCAUUCAAAGUUGUAAAAAUCAUGACGCUGCACCCCAUGGUCUACGUUCUAGGGGGCGCCAAAGAGGACCCAAAUAUCCACAUUUUUAAAGUCUUAUAACUUUUUAUUUUUGUCCUCACUGGCCUCCAAGUUUUCUAGGAUGAUGCAAUGUCCAGCCAUCAACACAUUUGUGAAGGAAUUUUUUCUCCCCAAAAGAGCGCCCCCCAUGGCAGGAGAAAAAGUCAAGUUUUUCCUGCCCAUCGCUCAAUGGCUCAAACGCAUCGCUCUCUCGGCAAAACCGAAAGGAGGAGCAACUUGCCAUUUGGAUAUAUACUAGCUGUGUUUGUGCCCUCACUCAUGGUCCAGACUUUUUUCAAAAAGGACAUGGAGUUUGUCUGCAGCGAGCGUUUUGGUAGAAACUGCGCCUCCCAUUCAUUAUAAUGGUAAAUGACCACAGACAAGUGCGCACACCAUCUUUGGACCUUGAGUGUGACGCGAUCGGGAGGGGUAGGCGGUCGCGCUGGGGGCGGCGUGACACGGCUCGGGCCCGCCAGUGCCCCACCGGGGCCCUAGUUUCUUUUUCCUCCCCUUUGAACUGGAAAAUGGCCCACUUCCCACUGGCGAAAACUCAUGAAAUUUGGCAGGACGACCGGGCCUGGUAAAAAAAUUGAUAUUCCGAAGUCGCCCAAACAAAAAAAUGCAAAAUGGCUCCAUAGCGCCCCCUAAGGUGAAAAUUCACACUAUUGACUGUCACGCCUGUACCCUUUGUCAAAAUAACACAAAAAUUGACACACACAUGUAUCUCAAUAAGAUCUACAAAAAAGUCAGUACGGGCGUAUCUGUCAAAUGUACGGUUAAAGGGUUAUUUCGCAUUUUUUGCCGAUCCGCACACAUUGGAAUUUCGCUAACUCCUCCGAAGGCUUUCGUUCCACCGGCACCACAUUUGCUCAGGCCAAUCUACACCCCAUGGCCAUUAAAAGUUAUUCAAAUCAUGACGCUGCACCCCACGGUUUACGUUCUAGGGGGCGCCAAAGAUGACCCAAAUAUCCACAUUCUUAAAAGAAUCCACAUCCCCCCCCCCAUCCCCCAUCCCCCAUCCCCCAUGGCAGGAGAAACAGUCAAGUUUUUCCUGCCCAUCACUCACUGGCAGCUGCUAAGCAGCUGCGAGAGCCCUGUUGUUCCUGAUGAGUUUUUCUUUGUUUCUUUCUUUCUUCUUUAGGGCCCGAGCGUAGCUGCUAAGCAGCUGCGAGGCCCUAUUAUUCCUGUAGUGGUUUUUCUUUGUUAGGGCCCGAGCGUAGCUGCUAAGCAGCUGCGAGAGCCCUAUUAUUCCCCAAGUGGUUUUUCUUUGUUUCUUCUUUCUUUCUUUCUUAUUUUUCCUCCCCUUUGAACUGGAAAAUGGCCCACUUCCCACUGGCGAAAACUCAUGAAAUUUGGCAGGAUGACCGGGCCUGGUGAAAAAUUUGAUAUUCCGAAGUCGCCCAAACAAGAAAAUGCAAAAUGGCUCCAUAGCGCCCCCUAAGGUGAAAAUUCACACUAUUGACUGUCACGCCUUUACGCUUUGUCAAAAUGACACAAAAAUUGACACACACGUGUAUCUCAAUAAGAUCUACAAAAAAGUCAGUGCGGGCAUAUCUGUCAAAUGUACGGUUAAAGGGUUAUUCCGCAUUUUUUGCCGAUCCGCACACAUUGGAAUUUCGCUAACUCCUCCGAAGGCUUUCGUUCCACCGGCACCACAUUUGCUCAGGCCAAUCUACACCCCAUGGCCAUUAAAAGUUAUUCAAAUCAUGACGCUGCACCCCACGGUUUAGGUUCUAGGGGGCGCCAAAGAUAACCCUAAAAUCCACAUAUUUAAAAGUCUUAUAACUUUUUAUUUUUGUCCUCACUGGCCUCCAAGUUUUCUAGGAUGAUGCAAUGUCCAGCCAUCAACACAUUUGUGAAGGAAUUUUUACUCCCCAAAAGAGCGCCCCCCCAUGGAAGGAGAAAAAAGUCCAUUUUUUCUUGUCCCGUAAGGUGAAAAUUCACAUUGUUGAGUGUGACACCUGUACGCUUUGUCAUAUUGACACAAAAUUUGACAAUCACGUGUAUCUCAAUAAGAUCUACGAAAAAGUCAAUGGGUGCAUAUCUGUCAAAUGUACGGUUAGAGGGCUAUUUUGCAUUUUUUGCCGAUUCGCACACAUUGGAAUGUGGCUAACUCCACCUAAGGCUUUCGUCCCACUGAAACCAAAUUUGCUCAGGCCAAUCUACACGCCAUGGCCAUUCAAAGUUGUAAAAAUCAGGACGCUGCACCCCACGGUUUACGUUCUAGGGGGCGCCAAAGAUGACCAAAAAAUCCACAUUCUUAAAAGAAUCCACAUUCUCCCCCCCCAUGGCACGAGAAAAAGUCAAGUUUUUCCUGCCCAUCGCUCAAUGGCUCAAUCGCAUCACUCUCCAGGCAACACCGUAAGGAGGAGCAACCUGCCAUUUGGAUAUAUCCCAGCUGUGUUUGUGCCCUCACUCAUGGUCCAGACUUUUUUCAAAUAGGACAUGAAGUUUGUCUGCAGCGAGUGUUUUGGUAGAAACUGCGCCUCCCAUUCAUUAUAAUGGGAAAUGACCACAGACAAGUGCGCACACCAUCUUUGGACCUUGAGUGUGACGCGAUCGGGAGGGGGAGGCGGUCACGCUGGGGGCGGCACGACGCGGCUCGGGCCCGACAGUGCCCCAACGGGGCCCUAGUCUUUGUUAGGGCCCGAGCGUAGCUGCUAAGCAGCUGCGAGAGCCCUAUUAUUCCUGAUGGAUUCUUCUUUCUUCUUUAGGGCCCGAGCGUAGCUGCUAAGCAGCUGCGAGAGCCCUAUUAUUCCUGAUGGAUUCUUCUUUCUUUAGGGCCCGAGCGUAGCUGCUAAGCAGCUGCGAGAGCCCUCUUGUUCCUGCAUGUUUCCUUCUUUCGUUAUUAUUUUUCCUCCGCUUCAAACUGGAAAAUGCCCCACUUCCCACUGGCGAAAACUCAGGACAUUUGGCAGGACGACCGGGCCUGGUGAAAAAUUCGAUAUUCUGAAGUCGCCCAAACAAUAAAAUGCAAAAUGGCUCCAUAGCGCCCCCUAAGGUGAAAAUUCACAUGACGGCUGUACGCUUUGUCAUAUUGACACAAAAAUUGACACACACAUGUAUCUCAAUAAGAUCUACAAAAAAGUCAGUGCGGGCGUAUCUGUCAAAUGUACGGUUAAUGGGUUAUUUUGCAUUUUUUGCAGAUCUGCACACAUUGGAAUUUCGCUAACUCCUCCGAAGGCUUUCGUUUGACCGGCACCACAUUUGCGCAGGCCAAUCUACCCCCCAUGGCCAUUAAAAGUUGUACAAAUCAUGACGCUGCACCCCACGGUUUACGUUCUAGGGGGCGCCAAAGAUAACCCAAAAAUCCACAUUCUUAAAAGUCUUAUAACUUUUUACUUUUGUCCUCACUGGCCUCCAAGUUUUCUAGGAUGAUGCAAUGUCCAGCCAUCAACACAUUUGUGAAGGAAUUUUUACUCGCCAAAAGAGCGCCCCCCAUGGCAGGAGAAAAAAGUCAAUUUUUUCUUGUCCCCUAAGGCGAAUAUACACAUUGUUGAGUGUCACGCCUGUACGCUUUGUCAUAUUGACACAAAAAUUAACACACACAUGUAUCUCAAUAAGAUCUACGAAAAAGUCAAUGUGCGCGUAUCUGUAAAAUGUACAGUUAAAGGGCUAUUUCGCAUUUUUUGCCGAUUCGCACACAUUGGAAUGUGGCUAACUCCUCCUAAAGCUUUCGUCCCAUCGGCACCAAAUUUGCUCAGGCCAAUCUACACCCCAUGGCCAUUCAAAGUUGUACAAAUCAUGACGCUGCAUCCCACGGUUUACGUUCUAGGGGGCGCCAAAGAUGACCCAAAUAUCCACAUUUUUAAAAGUCUUAUAACUUUAUUUUUGUCCUCACUGGCCUCCAAGUUUUCUAGGAUGAUGCAAUGUCCAGCCAUCAACACAUUUGUGAAGGAAUUUUUACUCCCCAAAAGAGCGCCCCCCCAUGGCAGGAGAAAAAAGUCAAUUUUUUCUUGUCCCGUAAGGUGAAAAUUCACAUUGUUGAGUGUGACACCUGUACGCUUUGUCAUAUUGACACAAAAUUUGACAAUCACGUGUAUCUCAAUAAGAUCUACGAAAAAGUCAAUGGGUGCGUAUCUGUCAAAUGUACGGUUAGAGGGCUAUUUUGCAUUUUUUGCCGAUUCGCAUACAUUGGAAUGUGGCUAACUCCUCCUAAGGCUUUCGUUCCACCGGCACCACAUUUGCUCAGGCCAAUCUACACCCCAUGGCCAUUCAAAGUUGUAAAGCUCAGGACGCUGCACCCCACGGUUUAUGUUCUAGGGGGCGCCAAAGAUGACCAAAAAAUCCACAUUCUUAAAAGAAUCCACAUUCUCCCCCCCCAUGGCACGAGAAAAAGUCAAGUUUUUCCUGCCCAUCGCUCAAUGGCUCAAUCGCAUCGCUCUCCAGGCAACACCGUAAGGAGGAGCAACCUGCCAUUUUGAUAUAUUCCAGCUGUGUUUGUGCCCUCACUCAUGGUCCAGACUUUUUUCAAAAAGGACAUGAAGUUUGUCUGCAGCGAGUGUUUUGGUAGAAACUGCGCCUCCCAUUCAUUAUAAUGGGAAAUGACCACAGACAAGUGCGCACACCAUCUUUGGACCUUGAGUGUGACGCGAUCGGGAGGGGGAGGCGGUCACGCUGGGGGCGGCACGACGCGGCUCGGGCCCGACAGUGCCCCACCGGGGCCCUAGUCUUCUUCUUCUUCUUCUUAUUAGGGCCCGAGCGUAGCUGCUAAGCAGCUGCGAGAGCCCUCUUGUUCCUGAUGGAUUCUUCUUUUGUUAUUAUUAUUAUUAGGGCCCGAGCGUAGCUGCUAAGCAGCUGCGAGAGCCCUCUUGUUCCUGAUGGAUUCUUCUUUUGUUAUUAUUAUUAUUACUUUUCCUCCGCUUUAAACUGGAAAAUGGCCCACUUCCCACUGGCGAAAACUCAGGAAAUUUGGCAGGACGACCGGGCCUGGUGAAAAAUUCGAUAUUCUGAAGUCGCCCAAACAAUAAAAUACAAAAUGGCUCCAUAGCGCCCCCUAAGGUGAAAAUUCACACUAUUGACUGUCACGCCUGUACGCUUUGUCAUAUUGACACAAAAAUUGACACACACAUGUAUCUCAAUAAGAUCUACAAAAAAGUCAGUGCGGGCGUAUCUGUCAAAUGUACGGUUAAAGGGUUAUUUCGCAUUUUUUGCAGAUCCGCACACAUUGGAAUUUCGCUAACUCCUCCGAAGGCUUUCGGUCCACCGGCACCACAUUUGCUCAGGCCAAUCUACACUCCAUGGCCAUUCAAAGUUGUACAAAUCAUGAUGCUGCACCCCAUGGUUUAGGUUCUAGGGGGCGCCAAAAAUAACCCUAAAAUCCACAUUCUUAAAAGUUUUAUAACUUUUUAUUUUUGCCCUCACUGGCCUCCAAGUUUUCUAGGAUGAUGCAAUGUCCAGCCAUCAACACAUUUGUGAAGGAAUUUUUACUCCCCAAAAGAGCGCCCCCCCCCCCAUGGCAGGACAAAAAAGUCAAUUUUUUCUUGUCCCCUAAGGUGAAAAUACACAUUGUUGAAUGCCACGCCUGUACGCUUUGUCAUAUUGACACAAAAUUUGACAAUCACGUGUAUCUCAAUAAGAUCUACAAAAAAGUCAACGCGCGCGUAUCUGUAAAAUGUACGGUUAAAGGGCUAUUUCGCAUUUUUUGCCGAUUCGCACACAUUGGAAUGUGGCUAACUCCUCCUAAGGUUUUCGUCCCACUGACACCAAAUUUGCUCAGGCCAAUCUACACCCCAUGGCCAUUCAAAGUUGUAAAAAUCAUGACGCUGCACCCCAUGGUCUACGUUCUAGGGGGCGCCAAAGAGGACCCAAAUAUCCACAUUUUUAAAGUCUUAUAACUUUUUAUUUUUGUCCUCACUGGCCUCCAAGUUUUCUAGGAUGAUGCAAUGUCCAGCCAUCAACACAUUUGUGAAGGAAUUUUUUCUCCCCAAAAGAGCGCCCCCCCAUGGCAGGAGAAAAAGUCAAGUUUUUCCUGCCCAUCGCUCAAUGGCUCAAACGCAUCGCUCUCUCGGCAAAACCGAAAGGAGGAGCAACUUGCCAUUUGGAUAUAUACUAGCUGUGUUUGUGCCCUCACUCAUGGUCCAGACUUUUUUCAAAAAGGACAUGGAGUUUGUCUGCAGCGAGCGUUUUGGUAGAAACUGCGCCUCCCAUUCAUUAUAAUGGUAAAUGACCACAGACAAGUGCGCACACCAUCUUUGGACCUUGAGUGUGACGCGAUCGGGAGGGGUAGGCGGUCGCGCUGGGGGCGGCGUGACACGGCUCGGGCCCGCCAGUGCCCCACCGGGGCCCUAGUUAUUAUUUUUCCUCCGCUUUAAACUGGAAAAUGGCCCACUUCCCACUGGCGAAAACUCAUGAAAUUUGGCAGGACGACCGGGCCUGGUGAAAAAUUCGAUAUUCUGAAGUCGCCCAAACAAGAAAAUGCAAAAUGGCUUAAUAGCGCCCCCAAAGGUGAAAAUUCACACUAUUGACUGUCACGCCUGUACGCUUUGUCAUAUUGACACAAAAAUUGACACACACAUGUAUCUCAAUAAGAUCUACAAAAAAGUCAGUGCGGGCGUAUCUGUCAAAUGUACGGUUAAAGGGUUAUUUCGCAUUUUUUGCCGUUCCGCACACAUUGGAAUUUCGCUAACUCCUCCGAAGGCUUUCGUUCCACCAGCACUACAUUUGCUCAGGCCAAUCUACACCCCAUGGCCAUUGAAAGUUGUACAAAUCAUGACGCUGCACCCCACGGUUUACGUUCUAGGGGGCGCCAAAGAUAACCCACAAAUCCACAUUCUUAAAAAUCUUAUAACUUUUUAUUUUUGUCCUCAUUGGCCUCCAAGUUUUCUAGGAUGAUGCAAUGUCCAGCCAUCAACACAUUUGUGAAGGAAUUUUUACUCCCCAAAACAGCGCCCCCCCCCAUGGCAGGACAAAAAAGGCCAUUUUUUCUUGUCCCCUAAGGUGAAAAUACACAUUGUUCAAUGUCACGCCUAUACGCUUUGUCAUAUUGACACAAAAUUUGACACACACGUGUAUCUCAAUAAGAUCUACGAAAAAGUCAAUGGGCACAUAUCUGUAAAAUGUACAAUUAAAGGGCUAUCUUGCAUUUUUUGCCGAUUCGCACACAUUGGAAUGUGGCUAACUCCUCCUAAGGCUUUCGUUCUACUGACACCAAAUUUGCUCAGGCCAAUCUACACCCCAUGGCCAUUCAAAGUUGUACAAAUCAUGACGCUGCACCCCACGGUUUAGGUUCUAGGGGGCGCCAAAGAUGACCCAAAUAUCCACAUUUCUAAAAGUCUUAUAACUUUUUAUUUUUGUCCUCACUGGCCUCCAAGUUUUCUAGGAUGAUGCAAUGUGCAGCCAUCAACACAUCUGUGAAGGAAUUUUUUCUCCCCAAAAGAGCACCCCCCCCCCCCCCCCCCAUGGCAGGAGAAAAAGUCAAGUUUUUCCAGCCCAUCGCUUAAUGGCUCAAACGCAUUUCUCUCCCGCUAAAACCAAAAGGAGGAGCAACUUACCAUUUGGAUAUGUCCUAGCUGUGUUUUUGCCCUCACUCAUGGUCCAGAGUUUUUUCAAAUAGGACAUGUAGUUUGUCUGCAGCGAGCGUUUUGGUAGAAACUGUGCCUCCCAUUCAUUAUAAUGGGAAAUGACCAAAGACAGGUGCGCACACCAUCUUUGGACCUUGACUUUGACGUCACAGUUUGAGAUACAAAUGUUAUUUGACCUCUGACCUUUGGUGGACACCCUAACCUUUCAACCCGCGAAAACGGCGUUUCAAUAGCUCUUACGGCUUUCCUACAAAUACACUUUGUUCAGCUACUCCUACUGUCCUUUAAGCUCUGCUUCUCAGAUCAUCAAAGAGUGUGCACGUGUGUAAUGAGCGCAUAUUGAAUGUUAAUUAUGUUAAAUAUGUUAAUUAUUAGAAGAAAAAACAACAACAGUCCUUUUGGACAAAAUUUCCUUUUAUUACAGAAUUAGAAUAAUGGAAGCAUAGUCCAAGGAAACCAUUCAAGUGAUGUCAUACCUCAUAAUUUAUUGAGAUGUUGGCUAGUCUGGGCAUUUCUUCAUUCAUCAGGUUUCCUGCAUGCAUACUAACAGAGCACAUCAGUAGCAGUGAGUGAUAAGUAUGAGUGUGUCAUUGUGUAAGAAAGAAAGUGGUUUACUUACACAUCCAUAGAAAAUAGGUGGUUGAGCACAGCACGCAAACAAAGCUUUGCCACAACGGUUGAACUUCCCAAGUAGCUGAUACCAAGGUCACGCAAUCAUGGUGAGCAAAGGUCAAACCAGGCCAGGCACUCACGAGGCUGGCUGUGGCAAGUGUAAGUGAAAGCAACACGCAAUGGCAGGAAGAACAGCAAACACCGAUGAAGGAAAAGGGUCUUUGCAGUGAUGGGCGUCACCAGAGAGGGCGAUGGCCAGAGGGCACGAAUGGGACGGGGAGGCGGUCGCGCUGGGGGCGGCGCGAUGCGGCUCGGGCCCGCCAGUGCCCCAACGGGGCCCUAGUUAUUUUUCUGCCCCUUUGAACUGGAAAAUGGCCCACUUCCCACUGGUGAAAACUCAUGAAAUUUGGCAGGACGACCGGGCCUGGUGAAAAAUUCGAUAUUCUGAAGUCAACCAAACAAUUAAAUGCAAAAUGGCUCCAUAGCGCCCCCUAAGGUGAAAAAUUCACAUGAUUGAGUGUCACGCCUGUACGCUUUGUCAAAAUGACACAAAAUUUGACACACACGUGUAUCUCAAUAAGAUCUACAAAAAAGUCAGUGCGGGCGUAUCUGUCAAAUGUACGGUUAAAGGGUUAUUUCGCAUUUUUUGCCGAUCCGCACACAUUGGAAUUUCGCUAACUCCUCCUAAAUCUUUUGUCCCAUCGGCUUCAAAUUUGCUCAGGUCAAUCUACACCCCAUGGCCAUUCAAAGUUGUACAAAUCAUGACGCUGCACCCCACAGUUUACGUUCUAGGGGGCGCCAAAGAGGACCCAAAUAUCCACAUUUUUAAAAGUCUUAUAACUUUUUAUUUUUGUCCUCACUGGCCUCCAAGUUUUCUAGGAUGAUGCAAUGUCCAGCCAUCAACACAUUUGUGAAGGAAUUUUUUCUCCCCAAAAGAGCGCCCCCCCAUGGCAGGAGAAAAAGUCAAGUUUUUCCUGCCCAUCGCUCAAUGGCUCAAACGCAUCGCUCUCUCUGCAAAACCGAAAGGAGGAGCAACUUGCCAUUUGGAUAUAUACUAGCUGUGUUUGUGCCCUCACUCAUGGUCCAGACUUUUUUCAAAUAGGACAUGUAGUUUGUCUGCAGCGAGCGUUUUGGUAGAAACUGCGCCUCCCAUUCAUUAUAAUGGGAAAUGACCACAGACAAGUGCGCACACCAUCUUUGGACCUUGAGUGUGACGCGAUCGGGAGGGGGAGGCGGUCGCGCUGGGGGCGGCGCGACGCGGCUCGGGCCCGACAGUGCCCCACCGGGGCCCUAGUUAGGGCCCGAGCGUAGCUGCUAAGCAGCUGCGAGAGCCCUCUUGUUCCUGAUGGAUUCUUCUUUAGGGCCCGAGCGUAGCUGCUAAGCAGCUGCGAGAGCCCUCUUGUUCCUGCAUGUUUCCUUCUUUUGUUAUUAUUAGGGCCCGAGCCAGCUGCAGAGCAGCCGGGCGUAGGCCCUAUUAUUCCCCAAGUGGUUUUUCUUUGUUUCUUUGUUUAGGGCCCGAGCGUAGCUGCUAAGCAGCUGCGAGAGCCCUAUUAUUCCCCAAGUGGUUUUUCUUUGUUUCUUUCUUUCUUUAGGGCCCGAGCGUAGCUGCUAAGCAGCUGCGAGAGCCCUAUUAUUCCCCAAGUGGUUUUUCUUUGUUUCUUUCUUUCUUCUUUUUCCUCCCCUUUGAACUGGAAAAUGGCCCACUUCCCACUGGCGAAAACUCAUGAAAUUUGGCAGGAUGAUCGGGCCUGGUGAAAAAUUUGAUAUUCCGAAGUCGCCCAAACAAGAAAAUGCAAAAUGGCUCCAUAGCGCCCCCUAAGGUGAAAAUUCACACUAUUGACUGUCACGCCUUUACGCUUUGUCAUAUUGACACAAAAAUUGACACACACAUGUAUCUCAAUAAGAUCUACAAAAAAGUCAGUGCGGGCGUAUCUGUCAAAUGUACGGUUAAAGGGUUAUUCCGCAUUUUUUUCCGAUCCACACACAUUGGAAUUUCGCUAACUCCUCCGAAGGCUUUCGUUCCACCGGCACCACAUUUGCUCAGGCCAAUCUACACCCCAUGGCCAUUAAAAGUUAUUCAAAUCAUGACGCUGCACCCCACGGUUUAGGUUCUAGGGGGCGCCAAAGAUAACCCUAAAAUCCACAUAUUUAAAAGUCUUAUAACUUUUUAUUUUUGACCUCACUGGCCUCCAAGUUUUCUAGGAUGAUGCAAUGUCCAGCCAUCAACACAUUUGUGAAGGAAUUUUUAAUCCCCAAAAGAGCGCCCCCCCAUGGCAGGAGAAAAAAGUCCAUUUUUUCUUGUCCCCUAAGGUGAAAAUACACAUUGUUGAGUGUCACGCCUGUAUGCUUUGGCAAAAUGACACAAAAAUUGACACACACAUGUAUCUCAAUAAGAUCUACGAAAAAGUCAAUGCGCGCAUAUCUGUCAAAUGUACGGUUAAAGGGUUAUUCCGCAUUUUUUGCUGAUCCGCACACAUUGGAAUUUCGCUAACUCCUCCGAAGGCUGGCGUUCCACCGGCACCACAUUUGCUCAGGCCAAUCUACACCCCAUGGCCAUUCAAAGUUAUUCAAAUCAUGACGCUGCACCCCACGGUUUAGGUUCUAGGGGGCGCCAAAGAUAACCCUAAAAUCCACAUAUUUCAAAGUCUUAUAACUUUUUAUUUUUGUCCUCACUGGCCUCCAAGUUUUCUAGGAUGAUGCAAUGUCCAGCCAUCAACACAUUUGUGAAGGAAUUUUUACUCCCCAAAAGAGCGCCCCCCCAUGGCAGGAGAAAAAAGUCCAUUUUUUCUUGUCCCCUAAGGUGAAAAUACACAUUGUUGAGUGUCACGCCUAUACGCUUUGUCAAAAUGACACAAAAAUUGACACACACAUGUAACUCAAUAAGAUCUACGAAAAAGUCAAUGCGCGCGUAUCUGUCAAAUGUACGGUUAAAGGGUUAUUCCGCAUUUUUUGCCGAUCCGCACACAUUGGAAUGUGGCUAACUCCUCCGAAGGCUUUCGUUCCACCGGCACCACAUUUGCUCAGGCCAAUCUACACCCCAUGGCCAUUAAAAGUUAUUCAAAUCAUGACGCUGCACCCCACGGUUUAGGUUCUAGGGGGCGCCAAAGAUAACCCUAAAAUCCACAUAUUUAAAAGUCUUAUAACUUUUUAUUUUUGUCCUCACUGGCCUCCAAGUUUUCUAGGAUGAUGCAAUGUCCAGCCAUCAACACAUUUGUGAAGGAAUUUUUACUCCCCAAAAGAGCGCCCCCCCAUGGCAGGAGAAAAAAGUCCAUUUUUUCUUGUCCCCUAAGGUCAAAAUUCACAUUGUUGAGUGUGACACCUGUACGCUUUGUCAUAUUGACACAAAAUUUGACAAUCACGUGCCUUGCCUGGUAUCAUUUUUUUCAAAUUCACACACAAAACAUAAAAUCCGAGUGGAAAAAAGUAACAUUUUUACUGUGAAAACCACAAAUAUGUGUGAUGAACUGUUUUUAAAACUUAAACUUCAAAUAAAAAUUGUAAACUUCAAAACAUAUGCAAAUUUUUAACAAAGAACAUAGUGAUUUACCUCUAUUUACAUCAAAAUGCAGGCAAUGGCCCAGGCGUUCUUUGUAAAAUUAUUUACAAAACACUGUAUAGUCUCACAAAUGUCACUUUUUAUUUAUGCCACUACAAAAAAACAUGAUGUAAAUGAUGCAUGAUGUAAAACAUGAUGUAAAAAACUUGCGUAGAUCCUCCUCUAUGUCAGUCCAUGUGUAAUUUUUCCAUAAUUCUUUGUUUUUUGCAGCAUUUUUGUUAGUGUAACUGCAGAUUGUGCUGACAGUGUCUAUGGCAAAAAAAAAAAAAAACUGAAAAUGCCUCAACAUGAACUCCUGGUGGUCUCUGAGGGUGAAACCUGCUAACUGCUGCAGCUCUCUCAGCUCUAGUCUCCCAUGCAGAGCUCGGAGCGCAUGUGUGGCUCUGCACCCUUAGCAGCGUUGCUAACUCCUCAGUAAGGAAAGCCUGCUUCAUGUCAGAGUCUCUAAACUCCAGAGGAAGUCGAUAAAAUUCCCUUUCUUUCUAAAAAAAAGUCGUUAGGGGGUCUGAAAAGUCAUUGAAUCUAACAACAAAGUCGCUAGGUUUGCAACUACGUUUCCCAGACUGCAUCCCUGCUGAGAGUUCCUCCCUCCCUUCUCAUAUUGCAGGAAGAACGUAAGCGCCCGCCCCUUGUCAAUCAGUCACCAUAUAAUUUUGGAUUGGUUGUUGUGGUGAAGUUUUCCACCAAUAGGAGAGAUGUUGUGGUGUGUUUUUUUUUUCUUUUGGCAUGCCUUUUCCGCCUGUAAGAGCUGUCGCUAAUGUCUGCAUGCUAUGUUUUCCUGUC